GUGCUCGCUUCGGCAGCACGUGUACUAAAAUUGGAACGAUACAGAGAAGAUUAGCACGGCCCCUGUGCAAGGAUGACACGAAGGGAAAAAUAAAUAAAAUCA
This is a small nuclear RNA of Echinops telfairi (small Madagascar hedgehog), 102 nucleotides long. The record is from RefSeq and is a predicted model, not a curated record. NCBI's taxonomy places the organism in Eukaryota, Metazoa, Chordata, Mammalia, Afrosoricida, Tenrecidae.